UUUACACAUUACACAUAAAUUAAUUUAAAAAAUAGUCAGUGUUGGGGGUGGAUAGUGGACAAUCACUUAUAAAUUGGCCUCCCCCUUGCUUAUAAAAUCUAUUUGUUGGGGAGGAUAGUGAUUCCGGAGCAUAAUUGCCGAUCAUUUAUAAAGUUGCCCCCCAAUUAUUUAUUAAACAAAUUAAUCUCGAGUAUCAAAAUAUGACUUUAUUGAUCGAACGACAAAAACGAAUUUAAAAUUACAACUAUCAUUUAAAUCACACAACACUUCAUGUGUUGACUUUUUCUACUCGCUGUCUUUGUGCAAAAAUGCUCGUUUUUUCUCAAGUUUCGUCACUCGUCUUGUUCAUUUUUGAUGAAAUGAUCAUGAUUCUCAAUUCUCAAUUUUAUCGGGUUAUAAUGAUUAUUUGGUACUCAUCACAAAUGUUAACCAAUAUUUCGGGUUUGUCUCAUUUUAUGAUAUUUCACUAACUUUCAAUUUCUAGUUUUACUGAUUUCUCAUUGACAUGAGAAAAAUCCAUAGCUAUUUGGUAAGUUUGGAUAUUGUAUACUUGAUAACGCUUUGUUUUUCCAGAUUUAUUUCUGAAAUUCGAUUUUUCAUCAUGUUUGUUAUUGAUUUGGCGGUUUCUGUCUUCAGUGGCAUCAGAUUCAAGAAAUGCUCGGUAAUGUUCAACUUUAAGUUAGGAAUAGGAUAGGAUAGGCUAGGUUUAGGAACAUGAUCUGAGCUUUUUCCUAUUGGAUUUGAUGCUAGUUGAAGUUUUGAAACCAAUGAAGCAAUUGACAAACAUGAUUAAUUUUCGAAGAUUCACGAAAUGAAACACAUAGUUGAAACUGAUAAUGGAUCACCGGCGAACAUUUUGGAAAUUGAAUUGAUCAUGAUUCAUUUUGGAAAAGGAAAACUGAAUGCCCAUUACGAUAGAUUUUUAUUUACAUGAUCGACAACUAGUCUUGGAUCAUAAAGAUUGGAUUGGCGGACAUAUGCUCAUGGUCAUUGGUUAAUUUAUAAAUGGAUCACUAUGGACAAGACAAAAAUUGGAUCAUGUUUAAUUUGUUUUUUUAAUUAUUGUCAUUGCUUUAUUAAUUUACUAUACUAUAUUGCGUUAAUUAAUAUUAAUUUUGAAUAACAUUUUUUAAUCCUAAUAUGGGGGUCAAAUUAAUGAAGUGAAUGGGGCAAAAUGAAUUCAAGUUUGCAGGGUAAACUGCAAAAUUGAAUUUUUUGAAACCCUGCAGUGUACACCGGAGACUUUCGUCUCUGUGUACUCAUGGAGAAAUUAAAUGAAAAAAAAACUUUUUCGGGAA
Dermatophagoides farinae (American house dust mite) is the source of this 1298-nucleotide long non-coding RNA. RefSeq lists it as uncharacterized. The record is from RefSeq and is a predicted model, not a curated record. Lineage: Eukaryota; Metazoa; Arthropoda; Arachnida; Sarcoptiformes; Pyroglyphidae.